Molecule: ribosomal RNA, 103 nt
Filed under: Clostridium muellerianum
Lineage: Bacteria; Bacillati; Bacillota; Clostridia; Eubacteriales; Clostridiaceae
Description: Clostridium sp. P21 partial 23S ribosomal RNA
Rfam family: Bacterial large subunit ribosomal RNA
Source: RNAcentral
UAGUAAGACCCCUUGAAGAACACAAGGUUGAUAGGUCAGAGGUGUAAGCAUGGUAACAUGUUCAGCUGACUGAUACUAAUAGGUCGAGGGCUUGACCAAAUAA